CAGACAUUGCUAUUUCAUUAGCAGAUAUGAUAGUUCCUUAGGAUCAAAUAUCGCAAGGUAUCAGAAAACAACCAAAGUAUCUUGAAAACUGACAUAACACAGGUGGCUGCAAUGUGUUAAAUGUCUACAUAAAUGCCACUACUGUAUUUCUGCAAUGAGAUGCUCUCACAGAUUAAUGAUGGGUAACCUGGGCAUCUGUAGUGCCUUGACAUCCCUGUUAUAGGUCAUUAUUCAUUAAUUUUCCUGUUUCUCUUGCUGUAAAGGUUUUACCUUCCCUAUGUCUGAAGAUGAUAUCCAGUCUGCAUUUCAUGAAAACUGUCUUCCAUUACAUUCCGCACCAGAUACACACUUACACACUUAAAACCUCUCACUCUCAGUAAUCCAGAUCAGAAGACACAAUGGAUCAGAGAAUGCCUGUGUGGGAAUCUCAUAGCCCCGAGGAGGACAGAGAGCAUGUCUGGGUGUAAAAAGGUGAUAACAGCCAGAGGGUAUUCAAUUAUUUCAAUACUUCUCUUUAUCAGCUUGUCAGAAAUGUUAAAC
Pelobates cultripes (western spadefoot toad) is the source of this 540-nucleotide non-coding RNA. NCBI's taxonomy places the organism in Eukaryota, Metazoa, Chordata, Amphibia, Anura, Pelobatidae. The record is from the annotation of a GenBank genome assembly.